This 253-nucleotide ribosomal RNA is filed under the name uncultured bacterium. RNAcentral describes it as "partial 16S ribosomal RNA". It matches the Rfam family "Bacterial small subunit ribosomal RNA", at positions 524 to 776 of the family's 1533-position model. The record is from RNAcentral.
UACAGAGGGUGCGAGCGUUGUUCGGAAUUAUUGGGCGUAAAGGGUGCGUAGGCGGUCCGCCAAGUGCUUUGUGAAAUCCCACAGCUCAACUGUGGAACAGCAGGGCAAACUGGAGGACUUGAGGCAGGUAGGGGCUGGAAGAACAGUUGGUGGAGCGGUGAAAUGCGUAGAUAUCAACUGGAAUGCCGAUGGGGAAGCCGUCCAGCUGGGCCUGUCCUGACGCUGAGGCACGAAAGCGUGGGGAGCAAACAGG